This 561-nucleotide ribosomal RNA is filed under the name uncultured bacterium. RNAcentral describes it as "partial 16S ribosomal RNA". It matches the Rfam family "Bacterial small subunit ribosomal RNA", at positions 355 to 1376 of the family's 1533-position model. The record is from RNAcentral.
UGGGGAAUAUUGGACAAUGGGCGCAAGCCUGAUCCAGCCAUGCCGCGUGAGUGAUGAAGGCCCUAGGGUUGUAAAGCUCUUUCGCCAGGGACGAUAAUGACGGUACCUGGAUAAGAAGCCCCGGCUAACUUCGUGCCAGCAGCCGCGGUAAUACGAAGGGGGCUAGCGUUGUUCGGAAUCACUGGGCGUAAAGCGCACGUAGGCGGAUCUUUAAGUCAGGGGUGAAAUCCCGAGGCUCAACCUCGGAACUGCCUUUGAUACUGGAGGUCUCGAGUUCGGGAGAGGUGAGUGGAACUGCGAGUGUAGAGGUGAAAUUCGUAGAUAUUCGCAAGAACACCAGUGGCGAAGGCGGCUCACUGGCCCGAUACUGACGCUGAGGUGCGAAAGCGUGGGGAGCAAAACAGGAUUAGAUACCCUGGUAGUCCACGCCGUAAACGAUGGAUGCUAGCCGUUGGGGAGCUUGCUCUUCAGUGGCGCAGCUAACGCUUUAAGCAUCCGCCUGGGGAGUACGGUCGCAAGAUUAAAACUCAAAGGAAUUGACGGGGUCAUAGCUGUUUCCUG